UACGGGGGGGGCAAGCGUUGUUCGGAAUUACUGGGCGUAAAGGGCUCGUAGGCGGCCAACUAAGUCAUACGUGAAAUCCCUCGGCUUAACCGGGGAACUGCGUCUGAUACUGGAUGGCUUGAGAUUGGGAGAGGGAUGCGGAAUUCCAGGUGUAGCGGUGAAAUGCGUAGAUAUCCGGAAGAACACCGGUGGCGAAGGCGGUGUGCUGGGCCGUAGCUGACGCUGAGGCGCGACAGCGUGGGGAGCAAACAGG
RNAcentral lists this ribosomal RNA (253 nucleotides) under uncultured bacterium. Its description in RNAcentral is "partial 16S ribosomal RNA". It matches the Rfam family "Bacterial small subunit ribosomal RNA", at positions 524 to 776 of the family's 1533-position model. The record is from RNAcentral.